UUACGACCGUAUCACACUGAAAUACCGGUUUCCGUACGAUCCCCAAAGUUAAGCAAUGUUCUUCCUAGUCAGUACACAGAUGGGUGGCCGCAUGGAAAUUCCAUGUGCUGUAA
This 113-nucleotide ribosomal RNA is filed under the name Acanthosepion pharaonis. The record is from RNAcentral. Lineage: Eukaryota; Metazoa; Mollusca; Cephalopoda; Sepiida; Sepiidae.